RNAcentral lists this ribosomal RNA (424 nucleotides) under uncultured bacterium. Its description in RNAcentral is "partial 16S ribosomal RNA". It matches the Rfam family "Bacterial small subunit ribosomal RNA", at positions 360 to 776 of the family's 1533-position model. The record is from RNAcentral.
AAUUUUGGACUAUGGGGGAAACCCUGAUGCAGCGAUACCGCGUGUACGAUGAAGGCCUUCGGGUGGUAACGUACUUUGUGCAGAGAAGAAAAGGUAUGUCCUAAUACGGGAUACUGAUUAUCUUAUCUGAUGAAUAAGUACUGGCUUACUACGUUGCAGCAGUCGCGGUAAUACGUAGGGUGCAAGCGAUAAUCGAAAUUACUUGGCGUAAAGCGUGAGAAGGCGGUUAGAAAAGAAGGAUGGGAAAGCCCAGGGCUCAACCUUGGAACUGCAUUUUUAACUGCCGAGCUAGAGGAUGUCAGAGGGGGGUAGAAGUCCACGUGUAGCAGUGAAAUGCGUAGAUAUGUGGAGGAGUACCGAUGGCGAAGGCAGCCCCCUGGGAUAAUACUGACGCUCAGACACGAAAGCGUGGGGAGCAAACAGG